UGAAGUUCAUUAGAGCUGGACUAUUAUUUCCCUGCCAGAAGUGUUUGGAGGGACAUUUUAGUAGGUUGCUUGCAAGUUGUAUAUUAUGUGAACUGUAUUGAGGUGGGGUGUACUAAUGACAUGUGGCCGUGAAGACUGUGGACAUUUUAAGGCCUUUGUUGUGUCGAUGAACACCCCCCACAUUCAUACCCUCUGCACUCAUCCACUAGAAAAUAAUACAGAUUAUUGCAAAUCCUAUGUUGAUGACUGGGUUCGUUCUUGUAUGAAGUUGCUGUUGAAUUGCUCUGCCAUUAUUAGUAUUAGUAUUAUUGUAUGAGGUAUUCUUGUUGGGGUUACCCCUGUGUUGUGAUGUGGGUUUUAUAUGGUGUGUAUUCUCUUUUCUCUCCACUGGCUAUCUGGUAAACAGGCUACACUCUAGGCAGUCUCUUCUGCUGAUGUGUGUGUGUCUGGUAGUGGUACUCUCUCUAUUCUACUGUUUUCCUUUCGGCAUGGUUAAUACCUGCCUGGCGCCCGAACAAAAUCUUUCUUUACCCUCUCUAAUAAAUACCGCUACAAGGUCACCAGUUUCCCCUGACUCAUCUUAGAGAGACUGGCAUCACUUAAAGAUGUGCUACAUGAUUAGGAUUAACCAGUUUCCCCUGACUCAUCUUAGAGAGACUGGCAUCACUUAAAGAUGUGCUACAUGAUUAGGAUUAACCAGUUUCCCCUGACUCAUGUUAGAGAGGCUGGCAUCACUUAAAGAUGUGCUACAUGAUUAGGAUUAACCAGUUUCCCCUGACUCAUCUUAGAGAGACUGGCAUCACUUAAAGAUGUGCUACAUGAUUAGGAUUAACCAGUUUCCCCUGACUCAUCUUAGAGAGGCUGGCAUCACUUAAAGAAAGGAUACAAAAGUACCGGAGAAUCUCUUUAACCAUCUCAUUCACAGCUCCUCCUGUUAAAGUUAGAACAUUAAAGUGAAACUCUUCUCUCACUGUCAGCAGUUUCACUGACUGCCUGAUGGAUGAAUACUCAUAACAAUUAUCCAGUGUACGGCUGAGGGAUGGAAGGAUGGAGGAGUGAGAGUUGGAGAAGUGUAGAAACAGCCGACUAAUCGUCCUCUGACUGUGAAGGGUAUUAUCUAUAGGACACUCCCAGGCUGGCCCUCAAAUCCAAAUGAAUAAAGACAGACCACCGAACCUCUCCUCUCCGCCAUCUCUCCCUCCAUCUAUUCACCUUAAUAGAGGUCAGAGGUCAACAGAACUACAUAACAGCUGCACCUCUCCAGAAACGUUCCCUCUCAGCAUCGUAAACAAACGAAGAAGAACAAGGCAGAAAGAGCUGAAGUGCAGUAGUCCUCCCAUGUAAUGCCUCCUCCCUGUGUUCAUGUGUUCUGCCUUUGAGAGUGGGGACGCCAAAGGAAACAUCCAGGGAGAAGAAAGGGGAGAAAAGGGGAGGAAAGGGGAGAAAAGGGGAGAAAAGGGGAGGAAAGGGGAGGAAAGGGGAGAAAGUCAUUUGAACAUGUCAGUGGGGAGAUUAGAGGGUAAUCACAGAGAGGAAAGAGGAGCACUGACUCAACGAAAAAGAGGAAGUACACUAGAGAGAGAGAGAGAGAGAGAAAGAGAGCUGCCAGGGUUUUGUUCGGAUUGAGUAGGAGUGGUCUGGGUGUUUCUAGGUAAGUUAGCCCCAGAAUAAACAGCAGUGCUGGUCCCUGUGCCAGGCUUGGCUAAUGUCUUCUUAUUUUCAUACUGUUAUUUAGUGUCAUUGGGACAGCAGCAGGCCUCUAGAGAGGUGGGAUAUGGUAAUGGAGAAGGGUCUGGUUCAGUCCACGAAGUGUGUGUAUGUCUGUUAGCGAUGCGCGGGUUGACUCAUAACCUACAGUCCUCUCAGUUGUAUCCGUAGGGCGGGCGGGUUUAGGGUGAUGAAAUAUUUGUGUGGCUGAAGGGCGGGUUGAACAAGGAGAAAACAGUACCUUCAAAGUCCAUAAAUGUGUCAUUCUUGUGCAAUUUAUAUCUAUAGGGAACAUUGAUGUUUUUCUGUCAUUGUUUUAGGCUAUCUGGCAUUAGUGCAUAAGACUAGGUUUUAAGGCCUAGUAUACACGCCAAUAGGGAAUGUGCAGCAAAAGGUCAUGUCAAUCCACAGAGGCAAAAAGGAAAAUGUCAGAGUUUAAUUCAAUAACAGAAAAGCUGCGAAAUGGAGAGUUGAAAAGAAAGACCGGGGAGGUUCAGAACAGUAAUGUUUGUGAAGUGGUGAAAGGGGAUGAUAGCAGUGUACUGCAUGUUAUGUGUGAUGAUUGUGAGGCGCUAAACAAAUUCUACAGUAACAAGACGGGGAGUUCAAAUAGGCCUUUGGCACGUCAAGGGAACUGUGGCCUACUGUUCAGAAAAUCAGUCAGUCUUUCUUUUAUUAAGGUAUCUGUGACCAACAGAUGCAUAUCUGUAUUCCCAGUCAUGUGAAAUCCAUAGUUUAGGGCCUAAUGAAUUUAUUUCAAUUGACUGAUUUCCUUAUAUGAACUGUAACUCAGUCAAAUCUCUGAACAUGUUUUAUGUGGCAUGUUUUUUGCUCAGUGUAAAUCAGGCCCCCCAAAAUGCUGUGGUCUCUGAUUGUAGUCUACACCUCAUUUUCUAUAUUAGGAUUCUCAGGGCCUCAGAUCACUUUAUCACAUAGUCAGGCAGUUGCAGAUGGGUUAUUAGCAAUUGCGGGCGGGUGACGAAAACAGCUGACUAACAGUUCUUUGGUACAGCAAAUCCUUAUUUUCCUCUCUCUCUCCCUCUCCCUCUCCCUCUCCCUCUCUCUCUCUCUCUCUCUCUGUCUCUCUGUCUCUCUGUCUCUCUGUCUCUCUGUCUCUCUCUCUGUCUCUCUCUCUCUCCCUCUCUGUCUCUGUCUCUCUCUCUCUCCCUCUCUCUCUGUCUCUGUCUCUCUCU
Molecule: long non-coding RNA, 2900 nt
Organism: Oncorhynchus tshawytscha (Chinook salmon)
Lineage: Eukaryota; Metazoa; Chordata; Actinopteri; Salmoniformes; Salmonidae
Source: Ensembl